Molecule: ribosomal RNA, 429 nt
Filed under: uncultured bacterium
Lineage: Bacteria
Description: bacterial SSU rRNA
Rfam family: Bacterial small subunit ribosomal RNA
Source: RNAcentral
UGGGGAAUCUUGCGCAAUGGACGAAAGUCUGACGCAGCAACGCCGCGUGAGUGAAGAAGGCCUUCGGGUUGUAAAGCUCUGUCGAGUGGGACGAAAAACUAUGAGGUGAAUAGCCUCAUAGUCUGACGGUACCGCUAAAGGAAGCACCGGCUAACUCCGUGCCAGCAGCCGCGGUAAUACGGAGGGUGCAAGCGUUGCUCGGAAUUAUUGGGCGUAAAGGGUAGGUAGGUGGUCUCAUUUGUCUGGGGUGAAAGCCUUGAGCUUAACUCAAGAAGUGCCCCAGAAACGGUGAGACUAGAGUCCUGGAGAGGGUCGUGGAAUUCCCGGUGUAGCGGUGAAAUGCGUAGAGAUCGGGAGGAACACCAGAGGCGAAGGCGGCGACCUGGACAGGUACUGACACUCAACUACGAAAGCGUGGGGAGCAAACAG